This 1371-nucleotide ribosomal RNA is filed under the name uncultured bacterium. Its description in RNAcentral is "bacterial SSU rRNA". It matches the Rfam family "Bacterial small subunit ribosomal RNA", at positions 28 to 1381 of the family's 1533-position model. The record is from RNAcentral.
GAUGAACGCUGGCGGCGUGCCUAAUACAUGCAAGUCGAGCGAACGGACGAGAAGCUUGCUUCUCUGAUGUUAGCGGCGGACGGGUGAGUAACACGUGGAUAACCUACCUAUAAGACUGGAAUAACUUCGGGAAACCGGAGCUAAUACCGGAUAAUAUUUUGAACCGCAUGGUUCAAAAGUGAAAGACGGUCUUGCUGUCACUUAUAGAUGGAUCCGCGCUGCAUUAGCUAGUUGGUAAGGUAACGGCUUACCAAGGCAACGAUGCAUAGCCGACCUGAGAGGGUGAUCGGCCACACUGGAGCUGAGACACGGUCCAGACUCCUACGGGAGGCAGCAGUAGGGAAUCUUCCGCAAUGGGCGAAAGCCUGACGGAGCAACGCCGCGUGAGUGAUGAAGGUCUUCGGAUCGUAAAACUCUGUUAUUAGGGAAGAACAUAUGUGUAAGUAACUGUGCACAUCUUGACGGUACCUAAUCAGAAAGCCACGGCUAACUACGUGCCAGCAGCCGCGGUAAUACGUAUGUGGCAAGCGUUAUCCGGAAUUAUUGGGCGUAAAGCGCGCGUAGGCGGUUUUUUAGUCUGAUGUGAAAGCCCACGGCUCAACCGUGGAGGGUCAUUGGAAACUGGAAAACUUGAGUGCAGAAGAGGAAAGUGGAAUUCCAUGUGUAGCGGUGAAAUGCGCAGAGAUAUGGAGGAACACCAGUGGCGAAGGCGACUUUCUGGUCUGUAACUGACGCUGAUGUGCGAAAGCGUGGGGAUCAAACAGGAUUAGAUACCCUGGUAGUCCACGCCGUAAACGAUGAGUGCUAAGUGUUAGGGGGUUUCCGCCCCUUAGUGCUGCAGCUAACGCAUUAAGCACUCCGCCUGGGGAGUACGACCGCAAGGUUGAAACUCAAAGGAACUGACGGGGACCCGCACAAGCGGUGGAGCAUGUGGUUUAAUUCGAAGCAACGCGAAGAACCUUACCAAAUCUUGACAUCCUUUGACAACUCUAGAGAUAGAGCCUUCUCCUUCGGGGGACAAAGUGACAGGUGGUGCAUGGUUGUCGUCAGCUCGUGUCGUGAGAUGUUGGGUUAAGUCCCGCAACGAGCGCAACCCUUAAGCUUAGUUGCCAUCAUUAAGUUGGGCACUCUAAGUUGACUGCCGGUGACAAACCGGAGGAAGGUGGGGAUGACGUCAAAUCAUCAUGCCCCUUAUGAUUUGGGCUACACACGUGCUACAAUGGACAAUACAAAGGGCAGCGAAACCGCGAGGUCAAGCAAAUCCCAUAAAGUUGUUCUCAGUUCGGAUUGUAGUCUGCAACUCGACUACAUGAAGCUGGAAUCGCUAGUAAUCGUAGAUCAGCAUGCUACGGUGAAUACGUUCCCGGGUCU